CGGCCGCAGUACCCUGACUGUGCAAAGGUAGCAUAAUCAAUUGGCUUUUAAUUGGGGUCUAGAAUGAAUGGAUUAACGUAGAAGAUCUGUCCCAGUAGAAAUUUUUAGAAAUUUUUAAGAAGGUGAAAAUCCCUUCAAUUAAUAAAAGACGAGAAGACCCUAUGAAUUUUAAAAAAUUACAAUAAUCUUUUUUGCUGGGGCGGCAAGGGAUCAAGAAACAUCCUCACUAUCGGUUAUAUCCGUAUUGAAUAAAUUACCUUAGGGAUAACAGCGCUAAUGCGACCUCGAUGUUGGACUAGGAAACUUUAAUGUUAGAGACUUUAAAGUAGGUU
RNAcentral lists this ribosomal RNA (332 nucleotides) under Latipes erinaceus. Its description in RNAcentral is "partial 16S ribosomal RNA". It matches the Rfam family "Bacterial large subunit ribosomal RNA", at positions 1928 to 2577 of the family's 2925-position model. The record is from RNAcentral. Lineage: Eukaryota; Metazoa; Mollusca; Gastropoda; Systellommatophora; Veronicellidae.